RNAcentral lists this ribosomal RNA (253 nucleotides) under uncultured bacterium. RNAcentral describes it as "partial 16S ribosomal RNA". It matches the Rfam family "Bacterial small subunit ribosomal RNA", at positions 524 to 776 of the family's 1533-position model. The record is from RNAcentral.
UACGGGGGGGGCAAGCGUUGUUCGGAAUUACUGGGCGUAAAGGGCUCGUAGGCGGCCAACUAAGUCCGACGUGAAAUCCCCAGGCUUAACCUGGGAACUGCGUCGGAUACUGGAUGGCUUGAAUUCGGGAGAGGGAUGCGGAAUUCCAGGUGUAGCGGUGAAAUGCGUAGAUAUCUGGAGGAACACCGGUGGCGAAGGCGGCAUCCUGGACCGACACUGACGCUGAGGAGCGAAAGCCAGGGGAGCAAACGGG